RNAcentral lists this ribosomal RNA (721 nucleotides) under uncultured bacterium. RNAcentral's name for it is "bacterial SSU rRNA". It matches the Rfam family "Archaeal small subunit ribosomal RNA", at positions 553 to 1273 of the family's 1478-position model. The record is from RNAcentral.
UCGCGCUCAACGUGAAGGCGUCUAAGAGAUACCGGCAGUCUUGGAACUGGGAGAGGUAAACCGUACUUCGGGGGUAGGAGUGAAAUCUUGUAAUCCUCGAGGGACGAGUAUGGCGAAGGCAGUUUACCAGAACAGCUUCGACAGUGAGGGACGAAAGCUGGGGGAGCAAACGGGAUUAGAUACCCCGGUAGUCCCAGCCGUAAACAAUGUGCGUUAGGUGUGUCGGUAACCACGUGUUACUGAUGCGCCGAAGAGAAAUCGUGAAACGCACCACCUGGGAAGUACGGUCGCAAGGCUGAAACUUAUCGGAAUUGGGCGGGGGAGCACCACAACAGGUGGAGCCUGCGGUUUAAUUGGAUUCAACGCCGGACAUCUCACCGGAUAAGACAGCUGAAUGAUUGUCAAUCUGAAGGUUUUACAUGACUAGCUGAGAGGAGGUGCAUGGCCGUCGUCAGUUCGUACUGUGAAGCAUCCUGUUAAGUCAGGCAACGAGCGAGACCCACGCCGACAAUUGCCAGCAGCAUCUCCGGAUGGCUGGGGACAUUGUCGGGACCGCCUCUGCUAAAGGGGAGGAAGGAAUGGGCAACGGUAGGUCAGCAUGCCCCGAAUUAUCCGGGCUACACGCGGGCUACAAUGGACGGGACAAUGGGUAACAACACCGAAAGGUGCAGUCAAUCUCCGAACCCCGCCCUUAGUUAGGAUUGCGGGUUGCAACUCACCC